Molecule: long non-coding RNA, 1252 nt
Organism: Oncorhynchus tshawytscha (Chinook salmon)
Lineage: Eukaryota; Metazoa; Chordata; Actinopteri; Salmoniformes; Salmonidae
Exons: 3
Source: RefSeq, a predicted model, not a curated record
UAUUGUAAAAACAACCUGAGGAUUGAUUAUAAAAAACGUUUGACAUGUUUCUACGAACUUUACGGAUGCUAUUUUGAAUUUUUGUCUGCCCCGUCGUGACUGCUCGAGCCUGUGGAUUUCUGAACAUAACGUUUUAGGGUAUCUAAAAAGGCAGGAGGCAUGCUGGAGAAGAUCCAGACCAUGCUUGCUCAGCAGCAGGGUGAUGAGAGGAGAUUCCAGGUGUGUUAGGAUGAGAGCUUGUUAGGAUGUAAGAGAAAUCGAUUAUUAAAAUCGAUUAUUAAGACAGAUUCUCAGUGUGAGAAUCAAUGUAUUCGUUGCCCAAUAGAACGAUUUGAGGAUAGGGAGGGAAAUGCAGUGGAGAAGUCUUUACAUUAUUUUUUAUGGGAGACAGACAAACGGCCAGACAUUUCAUUGUGUGUGUGUGUGUUAUUUCUGUUAAAGGGAUAACACUGAAGGGGAAUCUGAAAGGCUUCACAGACCUCACCAAUCCCUAGCUGAAGCAGCACAUGGAGGCGGCCAUCAACAUCGGCGUGGAUGAUCUCAAAGCCAGGUUUGGUGGUUUGCUGAAGGAUGAGGGUGUCCAGACUCCAGUGGAGUAUUUCAGAGUGCUAAACCCUGACACAUGGCCAAAUGACCAGGCCAGCCUUCUCCCCUUUGGCGCCGAUGGUGUGGCAGACCUGAUGAGACAUUUCAAGGAGCCUCUAGAAAGCAGAUUGGGGUGCAAUAUAGCUGCAAUCCAGGAUGAGUGGCAGGGGCUGAAAAUCCUGGUCAGCCACAAUUUCAAGGACAAGUCUUAGUGGCCUGUGGGAGACCGUGUUGACAAAGGACCCCUACAGGCACGAUUACAAGAACAUACUGGAGUUGGUACAGCUUAUGCUGGUGCUGCCCAUUUCAGCCGCCCAGUGUGAGCGAGGCUUCUCUGCGCACAACCGGAUUAAGAAUUCGACAAGAAGCUGCCUUGGGGUCUCCACCACCGAAGGCCUGAUGAGGAUCAGCCUGGAGGGGCCUUCUGUUGAGUUCGAUCCCACUCCUGCCGUGGACCGCUGGCUGUGCUCUAAGCGUGCAAGAAGGCCAACAUACAAAAGCAGUUGGACAACUGCUAUCCUUUGCGUCUAGUAGGCUUGGGUCAAUGUGUGAUUUUGGUGGUAUGUGCUGUUGCACAGAUGUGUGUCCCUUAAUACACGCACACACAUGCAGUAUAAAUAUGUAUGUAAUAAAUUGUUUAUUAAUAAACUCUGUCACUAGAACAGUU